RNAcentral lists this ribosomal RNA (254 nucleotides) under uncultured bacterium. RNAcentral's name for it is "partial 16S ribosomal RNA". It matches the Rfam family "Bacterial small subunit ribosomal RNA", at positions 524 to 776 of the family's 1533-position model. The record is from RNAcentral.
UACGGGGGGAGCAAGCGUUGUUCGGAUUUACUGGGCGUAAAGGGCGCGUAGGCGGUCGUGACAAGUCACUUGUGAAAUCUCCGGGCUUAACUCGGAACGGUCAAGUGAUACUGUCGGACUAGAGUACAGAAGGGGCAACUGGAAUUCUCGGUGUAGCGGUGAAAUGCGCAGAUAUCAGGAGGAACACCGGUGGCGAAGGCGGUUCUCUGGGCCUUACCUGACACUGAGGAGCGAAAGCGUGGGGAGCGAACAGG